UGGGGUGCGAGGCUAAGCACUG
RNAcentral lists this non-coding RNA (22 nucleotides) under Mus musculus (house mouse). Lineage: Eukaryota; Metazoa; Chordata; Mammalia; Rodentia; Muridae. The record is from RNAcentral.